This 230-nucleotide ribosomal RNA is filed under the name uncultured bacterium. RNAcentral describes it as "partial 16S ribosomal RNA". It matches the Rfam family "Bacterial small subunit ribosomal RNA", at positions 101 to 334 of the family's 1533-position model. The record is from RNAcentral.
AACGGUCGAGUAACGCGUAAGCAACCUGCCCGAAAGCGGGGAUAAGCCACCGAAAGGUGGGGUAAUACCGCAUAUCUUCGCUUUGGACAUCCUGGGUGAAGAAAGAUUUAUCACUUUCGGAGGGGCUUGCGUUCUAUCAGCUAGUUGGUGGGGUAACGGCUCACCAAGGCGACGACGGAUAGCGGGUCUGAGAGGACGAUCCGCCGGACUGGGACUGAGACACGGCCCAG